Molecule: ribosomal RNA, 490 nt
Filed under: uncultured bacterium
Lineage: Bacteria
Description: partial 16S ribosomal RNA
Rfam family: Bacterial small subunit ribosomal RNA
Source: RNAcentral
AUUGAACGCUGGCGGCAUGCUUUACACAUGCAAGUCGGACGGCAGCACAGAGGAGCUUGCUUCUUGGGUGGCGAGUGGCGAACGGGUGAGUAAUAUAUCGGAACGUACCGAGUAAUGGGGGAUAACUAAUCUAAAGAUUAGCUAAUACCGCAUAUUCUCUGAGGAGGAAAGCAGGGGACCUUCGGGCCUUGCGUUAUUCGAGCGGCCGAUAUCUGAUUAGCUAGUUGGUGGGGUAAAGGCCUACCAAUGCGACGAUCAGUAGCGGGUCUGAGAGGAUGAUCCGCCACACUGAGACUGAGACACGGCCCAGACUCAUACGGGAGGCAGGAGUGGGGAAUUUUGGACAAUGGGCGGAAGCCUGAUCCAGCAAUGCCGCGUGUCUGGAGAAGGCCUUCGGGUUGUAAAGGACUUCUGUCAGGGAAGAAAAGGCUGUUGCUAAUAUCGACAGCUGAUGACGGUACCUGAAGAAUAAGCACCGGCUAACUACGUG